Molecule: transfer RNA, 82 nt
Filed under: Flavonifractor plautii
Lineage: Bacteria; Bacillati; Bacillota; Clostridia; Eubacteriales; Oscillospiraceae
Description: tRNA-Ala
Rfam family: tRNA
About the family: Transfer RNA (tRNA) molecules are approximately 80 nucleotides in length. Their secondary structure includes four short double-helical elements and three loops (D, anti-codon, and T loops).
Source: RNAcentral
GGGGGUAUGUAACCGUACUGAUUGGGAGAGCGCUUGAAUGGCAUUCAAGAGGUCAGCGGUUCGAUCCCGCUUAUCUCCACCA